This 255-nucleotide ribosomal RNA is filed under the name uncultured bacterium. Its description in RNAcentral is "partial 16S ribosomal RNA". It matches the Rfam family "Bacterial small subunit ribosomal RNA", at positions 524 to 776 of the family's 1533-position model. The record is from RNAcentral.
GACGUAGGGGGCGAGCGUUGUCCGGAUUCAUUGGGCGUAAAGCGCGCGCAGGCGGCUCGGAAAGUCGGGUGUGAAAACCUGGGGCUCAACCCCGGGCGUGACAUCCGAUACUGCCGGGCUUGAGGCAGGUAGGGGAGAUCGGAAUUCCUGGUGUAGCGGUGAAAUGACGCAGAUAUCAGGAGGAACACCGGUGGCGAAGGCGGAUCUCUGGGCCUGUCCUGACGCUGAGGCGCGAAAGCUAGGGGAGCGAACAGG